Small nuclear RNA from Suncus etruscus (white-toothed pygmy shrew), 104 nucleotides. Lineage: Eukaryota; Metazoa; Chordata; Mammalia; Eulipotyphla; Soricidae. The record is from RefSeq and is a predicted model, not a curated record.
GUGCUCUCUUGGGCAGCACAUAUACUAAAAUUGAAAAGAUGCAGAGAUUAGCAUGGCCCCUGCACAGGGAUGACAUGCAAAUUCAUGAAGCUUUCCAUAAUUAA